AGGGUUUGAUCAUGGCUCAGGAUGAACGCUGGCGGCGUGCUUAACACAUGCAAGUCGAACGAACCUUCGGGUUAGUGGCGGACGGGUGAGUAACGCGUGAGAAUCUGCCCUCAGGAGGGGGAUAACGGUUGGAAACGACCGCUAAUACCCCAUAUGCCGAGAGGUGAAAUGAAUUUCGCCUGAGGAUGAGCUCGCGUCUGAUUAGUUAGUUGGUGGGGUAAUGGCCUACCAAGACAUCGAUCAGUAGCUGGUCUGAGAGGAUGAUCAGCCACACUGGGACUGAGACACGGCCCAGACUCCUACGGGAGGCAGCAGUGGGGAAUUUUCCGCAAUGGGCGAAAGCCUGACGGAGCAACGCCGCGUGAGGGAUGAAGGCCUCUGGGCUGUAAACCUCUUUUAUCAAGGAAGAAGAUCUGACGGUACUUGAUGAAUAAGCCACGGCUAAUUCCGUGCCAGCCGCCGCGGUAAUAC
This 471-nucleotide ribosomal RNA is filed under the name uncultured bacterium. RNAcentral describes it as "bacterial SSU rRNA". It matches the Rfam family "Bacterial small subunit ribosomal RNA", at positions 8 to 526 of the family's 1533-position model. The record is from RNAcentral.